UCCUUGGUAGCUCAGUUGGUAAAGAAUCUGCCUGCAAUGCAGGAGACCCUGGUUCGAUUCCUGGGUCAGGAA
RNAcentral lists this transfer RNA (72 nucleotides) under Ovis aries (sheep). It matches the Rfam family "tRNA". From Rfam's summary of the family: Transfer RNA (tRNA) molecules are approximately 80 nucleotides in length. Their secondary structure includes four short double-helical elements and three loops (D, anti-codon, and T loops). Further hydrogen bonds mediate the characteristic L-shaped molecular structure. tRNAs have two regions of fundamental functional importance: the anti-codon, which is responsible for specific mRNA codon recognition, and the 3' end, to which the tRNAs corresponding amino acid is attached (by aminoacyl-tRNA synthetases). tRNAs cope with the degeneracy of the genetic code in two manners: having more than one tRNA (with a specific anti-codon) for a particular amino acid; and 'wobble' base-pairing, i.e. permitting non-standard base-pairing at the 3rd anti-codon position. Lineage: Eukaryota; Metazoa; Chordata; Mammalia; Artiodactyla; Bovidae. The record is from Rfam by way of RNAcentral.